This 367-nucleotide long non-coding RNA is filed under the name Nicotiana benthamiana. Its description in RNAcentral is "long non-coding RNA (NBEN_LNC006434)". Lineage: Eukaryota; Viridiplantae; Streptophyta; Magnoliopsida; Solanales; Solanaceae. The record is from RNAcentral.
CAAGACUGAAAUACCAGGAUUCCCGCCUGAAUGGGAAUGAGUAGCCUUGCAGUUCUGCAACUUGGCAUUGUGCCACAUAUAUAGCACCUUAGCGGUGCUUGAACCUUCUCCCAACUGAACCAUGUGGGUUUCAUACAAUAUUUGCCUCAUGGCCCCACAUAUUUCUUCUAUUUCUUUGCCGUAAAGAACUCAUCUUCUUCUUCUUCUUCGUUGUACUUAGGCCUGAUGAAUAUUUUGUAGAGAUAUGGAACAGGCUCAAGUAAAAUCCAAUCAUUGCAUUCGUUCAUCUGCCCAUGUCACAUCAACUUUUGUGGCAUGAAACCCACACAAAAAAAUUUCUCACUGGUAGAUAAAGUGAUGAGUUCAG